UUAAAUUUGUGGAAGAAAAUAAAAUAAAAAAAGAAUUCAAUAGACGUCGAAGUCCACGCUAGGUGCCGUUUAAAUCGUUAAAAAUACCACGCCGAAAAUGCGAGAUACUACAAGAAGUCGAUCUGCUUUUCUUCGGUUCCCGAUCCUCUUUGGAUCCAUUCUGGGAAUAUUUUACAUGGGAUUCCAAUAUCGGAAAACAUUCAUGACAGAUAUACCAGAAAAAGUAAAGGAAAUGAAUAAAGCAGAGUCAGAUAACAGAGGAUUAAUCAAGAGCUCAAUCGGACAAAUUAAUCAAGAGAGAGGCAACAAGAACGAAAAAUAAAAAAAUUCAUUUAUAGUUCUUUGAUGUUAAAGAGGGAAAGCAUUAAAUAUGGUAAACAAUA
This is a long non-coding RNA of Daphnia magna, 383 nucleotides long. RefSeq lists it as uncharacterized. The transcript has 3 exons. Lineage: Eukaryota; Metazoa; Arthropoda; Branchiopoda; Diplostraca; Daphniidae. The record is from RefSeq and is a predicted model, not a curated record.